AGUGAACGCUGGCGGCAGGCCUAACACAUGCAAGUCGAACGGCAGCACAGUAAGAGCUUGCUCUUACGGGUGGCGAGUGGCGGACGAGAGAGGAAUACAUCGGAAUCUACUUUUUCGUGGGGGAUAACGUAGGGAAACUUACGCUAAUACCGCAUACGACCUACGGGUGAAAGCAGGGGAUCUUCGCACCUUGCGCUAUUGAAUGAGCCGAUGUCGGAUUAGCUAGUUGGCGGGGUAAAGGCCCACCAAGGCGACGAUCCGUAGCUGGUCUGAGAGGAUGAUCAGCCACACUGGAACUGAGACACGGUCCAGACUCCUACGGGAGGCAGCAGUGGGGAAUAUUGGACAAUGGGCGCAAGCCUGAUCCAGCCAUACCGCGUGGGUGAAGAAGGCCUUCGGGUUGUAAAGCCCUUUUGUUGGGAAAGAAAAGCAGCAGGUUAAUACCCCGCUGUUCUGACGGUACCCAAAGAAUAAGCACCGGCUAACUACGUG
This 492-nucleotide ribosomal RNA is filed under the name uncultured bacterium. Its description in RNAcentral is "partial 16S ribosomal RNA". It matches the Rfam family "Bacterial small subunit ribosomal RNA", at positions 29 to 507 of the family's 1533-position model. The record is from RNAcentral.